AAGCAUAAUCUCUAGCCUAUUUCACAUAAUCACUUCAUAAGGCACAUUUAACAAGAAUAGCAUAUUUAUCAUCUUACAUUACAUAGCAAGCCUUAAUAGCCUCACUCACAAAAAUCUAGUAACUUUACAUUCAUACCAUUUAAAUAAACACCGCUACCAAGAAGGUGGACCAUACCACUCAAGAGCAUUUGAAAUUGAAACCAAACAACAUAAUCAACUUAUCCUUUA
This 228-nucleotide unclassified non-coding RNA is filed under the name Hevea brasiliensis (rubber tree). Lineage: Eukaryota; Viridiplantae; Streptophyta; Magnoliopsida; Malpighiales; Euphorbiaceae. The record is from RNAcentral.